Molecule: ribosomal RNA, 266 nt
Filed under: uncultured archaeon
Lineage: Archaea
Description: partial 16S ribosomal RNA
Rfam family: Archaeal small subunit ribosomal RNA
Source: RNAcentral
ACACGACUACAUUAGAUACCCCUGUAGUCCUAGCCGUAAACGAUACUCGCUAGGUGUCGGCCACGGUGCGACCGUUGUCGGUGCCGUAGGGAAGCCGUGAAGCGAGCCACCUGGGAAGUACGGCCGCAAGGCUGAAACUUAAAGGAAUUGGCGGGGGAGCGCCACAACGGGUGGAGCUUGCGGUUUAAUUGGAUUCAACGCCGGAAAUCUUACCGGGACCGACAGCAACAUGAAGGCCAAGCUGAAGACUUUUGUCGGAUUAGCUG